AUCUUUUUCUAUUAUUUGUUCUGUUUAAAGAGCAGGUGUUAGGUAUUUUAAUAGGUUUUUGUUUUCUAUACACACACAUAUAAGAAACAAAGUAUAUCCAGUUGGUUCUUGAGACUUUAAUCCUACUCGUACUCAGCGCCACAUGGAAAUUGUUGGAAAUGUGCCCUAAACCAAUCAUACGAUGAUACUUUACGGACAUUUCACAUGUUAAACUAAUAUAGUUUAAUUUAAAGGGCAAAGAUUAUUGUUUGAAGCCAUCUUAUAUAAAUGUUAUACGCUUAAACGAUAAGUCCAAGGAAUAUGUAAUUGGGAGAAUGCGAUCUAAAGAAGUUAGAUUCAUGAGACCAUUCUCUUCCGUAUACAUAUCCUAAACGUUCCUAAUCAUAGGAUUGCAAAUUGGGCAUUGAUAGUCCGUUAAGAUCAGUACGUGUUAUG
RNAcentral lists this long non-coding RNA (435 nucleotides) under Malus domestica (apple). RNAcentral's name for it is "long non-coding RNA (MDOM_LNC016825)". The record is from RNAcentral. Lineage: Eukaryota; Viridiplantae; Streptophyta; Magnoliopsida; Rosales; Rosaceae.